RNAcentral lists this non-coding RNA (343 nucleotides) under Pongo abelii (Sumatran orangutan). The record is from RNAcentral. Lineage: Eukaryota; Metazoa; Chordata; Mammalia; Primates; Hominidae.
GCUUUUCUUUCUUCUGUGCUUGGAAAUUUCCUCUGUCUUCCCUGAGUGGUCAGCUGCUGUCGAAACAAGACAUGAUGACAGAUGCUGCCUGAGGUGGAUUGGGAGAGCCAGGGCCAGUACAGCUGAAAGAAGGGUUUAUAUUUUCACCAGAAACCUGCAUUAGGGAAAGAGGGAUGUGACUGUCUUCAUCUUUGCACCAUCUUAUCCAUCCUUUUCUGUCUCUGGCUAUUGCAGUGUUGAUUUGAAGAAGGGAAACGGAAAGAUUCCUCAACCAUAAAGUGGACAUGGGAACUACUUUCACAAAGUUGUUGGAAGAAUUAAAUAAAAUGCCUAUUAUUGUUUA